Octodon degus (degu) is the source of this 104-nucleotide small nucleolar RNA. RefSeq annotates it as small nucleolar RNA U13. The record is from RefSeq and is a predicted model, not a curated record. Lineage: Eukaryota; Metazoa; Chordata; Mammalia; Rodentia; Octodontidae. The transcript has a single exon.
AUGCUCUUUUGUGGUUCACAAGUGUGAUAACUGUUUUCCCGCCAGUAUAUGAGAUGCACCUCCCUCAAACCAUAUUAAAAUGUCAGCACAUUACCCAUCUUUAU